Non-coding RNA from Ictidomys tridecemlineatus (thirteen-lined ground squirrel), 69 nucleotides. NCBI's taxonomy places the organism in Eukaryota, Metazoa, Chordata, Mammalia, Rodentia, Sciuridae. The record is from Rfam.
GGGGCUGUGGCUCAGUGGUAGAGCACUUGCCUAGCAUGUGUGAGGCCCUGGGUUCAAUUCUCAGCACCA